AGGACGAACGCUGGCGGCGUGCCUAACACAUGCAAGUCGAACGGACGAGGGGAGCUUGCUCCCUGAGUUAGUGGCGAACGGGUGAGUAACGCGUGAGCAACCUGCCUUUCAGAGGGGGACAACGGUUGGAAACGACCGCUAAUACCGCAUGAAGCAAUCGGACCGCAUGAUCUGAUUGCCAAAGAUUUUAUCGCUGAAAGAUGGGCUCGCGUCUGAUUAGAUAGUUGGUGGGGUAACGGCUCACCAAGUCGACGAUCAGUAGCCGGACUGAGAGGUUGAACGGCCACAUUGGGACUGAGAUACGGCCCAGACUCCUACGGGAGGCGGCAGUGGGGAAUAUUGGGCAAGUACGGGGGAAACCCUGACCCAGCAACGCCGCGUGAAGGAAGAAGGCUUUCGGGUUGUAAACUUCUUUACCAGGGACGAAGGACGUGACGGUACCUGGAGAAAAAGCCACGGCUAACUACGUGCCAGCAGCUGC
RNAcentral lists this ribosomal RNA (481 nucleotides) under uncultured bacterium. RNAcentral's name for it is "bacterial SSU rRNA". It matches the Rfam family "Bacterial small subunit ribosomal RNA", at positions 26 to 518 of the family's 1533-position model. The record is from RNAcentral.